This 491-nucleotide ribosomal RNA is filed under the name uncultured bacterium. RNAcentral describes it as "bacterial SSU rRNA". It matches the Rfam family "Bacterial small subunit ribosomal RNA", at positions 28 to 507 of the family's 1533-position model. The record is from RNAcentral.
GAUGAACGCUAGCUACAGGCUUAACACAUGCAAGUCGAGGGGAAACGACAUCGAAAGCUUGCUUUGAUGGGCGUCGACCGGCGCACGGGUGAGUAACGCGUAUCCAACCUGCCCACCACUUGGGGAUAACCUUGCGAAAGUAAGACUAAUACCCAAUGAUAUCCCACGAAGGCAUCCGAAUGGGAUUAAAGAUUUAUCGGUGAUGGAUGGGGAUGCGUCUGAUUAGCUUGUUGGCGGGGUAACGGCCCACCAAGGCAACGAUCAGUAGGGGUUCUGAGAGGAAGGUCCCCCACAUUGGAACUGAGACACGGUCCAAACUCCUACGGGAGGCAGCAGUGAGGAAUAUUGGUCAAUGGGCGAGAGCCUGAACCAGCCAAGUAGCGUGCAGGACGACGGCCCUAUGGGUUGUAAACUGCUUUUAUAAGGGAAUAAAGUGGGUCACGUGUGACUUUUUGCAUGUACCUUAUGAAUAAGGACCGGCUAAUUCCGUG